GAUGAAGAACGCAGCGAAAUGCGAUACUUGGUGUGAAUUGCAGAAUUCAGUGAAUCAUCGAGUCUUUGAACGCACAUUGCGCCCCCUGGUAUUCCGGGGGGCAUGCCUGUCCGAGCGUCAUUGCUGCCCUCAAGCACGGCUUGUGUGUUGGGCCCCCGUCCCCGGUUUCCCCCGGGGACGGGCCCGAAAGGCAGCGGCGGCACCGCGUCCGGUCCUCGAGCGUAUGGGGCUUUGUCACCCGCUCUGUAGGCCCGGCCGGCGCCAGCCGACACCCAACUUUAUUUCUAAGGUUGACCUCGGAUCAGGUAGGGAUACCCGCUGAACUUAAGCAUAUCAAUAAGCGGAGGA
RNAcentral lists this unclassified non-coding RNA (348 nucleotides) under soil metagenome. RNAcentral's name for it is "partial contains 5.8S ribosomal RNA, internal transcribed spacer 2, and large subunit ribosomal RNA". The stretch from base 1 to 120 matches the Rfam family "5.8S ribosomal RNA", at positions 35 to 154 of the family's 154-position model. The record is from RNAcentral.